Cavia porcellus (domestic guinea pig) is the source of this 706-nucleotide long non-coding RNA. RefSeq lists it as uncharacterized. The record is from RefSeq and is a predicted model, not a curated record. Lineage: Eukaryota; Metazoa; Chordata; Mammalia; Rodentia; Caviidae. The transcript is spliced from 2 exons.
CUUCCCGAGUGGUUGCGGAUGCUCCCCCGGAUUGACGCUGAGCAAGUUAUGAAGGGAGGAAUAGGGUCAGAGGCCACGGUUGAGGUCAAAUGAGGGACCGCGGCCCCUAGCCAGAGAGGAGUAGGAAGUGGAUCCCGACCCCGCGCGCGGUUUCCCUUGGGAGUAAGCCGGAAGGCGAUGCUGGAGCCAAGCUGGUCUCGAAUUCGGGGUGACGCCUCUGCUUCAGCCUCGCGAAUUGCUUCCCCACCCCUAGGUACCAGGUUUGGAGCCCUGAGACGCUCUUUCACGGAGCAACACUCCUACCCUUUCUUUUAUACUGAGAAUAAAUUGCCCAAUCGGGCCUUGAACUCAAGUCUUCUGCCUCAAUUAUAUGAGAUUGCAGACUUAAUCCAGUCUUUAGACUUUGUUGUUUUGUUCUGUUUUGAGACACUGUCUCACUAUGUCGUGUACGCCGACCUGGAGCUUGCUGCAUAGCCUAGACUGGUUUUGAAUUUGUUGUCCUCUUCAGCCUCCAGAGUGCUGGGAUUACUCUGGCAUGUACCGCAUGUUGAGCUCAUGCUAAAACACUUCAUACAGGGCUGGGGAUUUAGCUCAGCGGCAUAAGCGCCUGCCGUGCAAGAAGGCAGUUGUGAGUUACUGAGUUCGAUCCCCGGUACCGAUAAAAAUGAAAAAGACAAAAAAAAAAAAAAAAAAACAAACAAAGAAA